Non-coding RNA from Acanthosepion pharaonis, 99 nucleotides. Lineage: Eukaryota; Metazoa; Mollusca; Cephalopoda; Sepiida; Sepiidae. The record is from the annotation of a GenBank genome assembly.
AUUGAGACACCGUUUCUCGUAAAAUCACCAAAGUUAAGCAACGUCGAGCCUGAUCAGUACCUAGAUGGGUAACCGCUUGGGAAUAGCAGGCGUUGUAAG